Molecule: ribosomal RNA, 530 nt
Filed under: Thyone sp. AKM-2016
Lineage: Eukaryota; Metazoa; Echinodermata; Holothuroidea; Dendrochirotida; Phyllophoridae
Description: partial 16S ribosomal RNA
Rfam family: Bacterial large subunit ribosomal RNA
Source: RNAcentral
AAAAACAUAGCCCGUUGACAUAAUCACAUAAUGGGUCAAGCCUGCCCAAUGGAAUUCUCCAAAUGGCCGCGGUACCUUGACCGUGCAAAGGUAGCAUAAUCAUUUGUCCUUUAAUUGAGGACUUGUAUGAAUGGCACCACAUCUUUUAACUGUCUCCUUUCUUCCCACUCUAAACUUCUUUUAAUGUGAAGAAGCAUUAAUAAAAAAGAAAGACGAGAAGACCCUGUCGAGCUUCAACUCUAAAAAGAAAUUUUCUAACUCUUAUCUUUAAAAAGUUUUGGUUGGGGUAACCACGGAGAAAAAACAUACUCCCUAAUUAAAAAAGAUCAGUAAUCAAUUUAAUAUCAUUAUAAUGAACUAGUAAACACCAAGAAAAAGAAAUAGUUACCGCAGGGAUAACAGCGUAAUCUUCUUUGAGAGUUCAUAUUGACAAGAAGGCUUGCGACCUCGAUGUUGGAUUAGGGCCACCAAAGGGUGCAGCAGCUCUUAACGGUUGGACUGUUCGUCCAUUAAUCCCCUACGUGAUCUGA